Molecule: ribosomal RNA, 443 nt
Filed under: uncultured bacterium
Lineage: Bacteria
Description: bacterial SSU rRNA
Rfam family: Bacterial small subunit ribosomal RNA
Source: RNAcentral
GAACGCGAAGAACCUUACCUGGGUUUGACAUGCACGUGGUACGGAGAUGAAAGUCGAAGGACCCCGUAGAGAUACGGGGAGCGUGCACAGGUGCUGCAUGGCUGUCGUCAGCUCGUGUCGUGAGAUGUUGGGUUAAGUCCCGCAACGAGCGCAACCCUUAUACUUAGUUGCCAUCAUUAAGUUGGGCACUCUAAGUAGACUGCCGGAGACAAUUCGGAGGAAGGUGGGGAUGACGUCAAAUCAUCAUGCCCCUUAUGUUCUGGGCUACACACGUGCUACAAUGGGUAUAACAACGGGAAGCAAGCCAGUGAUGGUGAGCAAAUCCCUAAAAAAUACUCCCAGUUCAGAUUGUUCUCUGCAACUCGAGAACAUGAAGUCGGAGUUGCUAGUAAUCGCGAAUCAGCAUGUCGCGGUGAAUACGUUCCCGGGUCUUGUACACACCG